CAGCCUGCCACACCUGCCAGUAAUCAACCUCAUCCCAGCCUGUAUUUCAACCCCGGUUCUCCACACCAUCCUCGCUUGAUCGUCGUUGCUCCUUACCCGGUGCCACCUCUACGUCCAGGCUCUCAUGUUCCUUGUUUUUCCCUCAUCUUCCCUGCAUUUUGUCGCUCCAGCCACUAACCCUGUCUUUCUGUCUGUUUUCCCUCCCAGGUUCACUCACCCUCGUCAUCCGUUCAGUCGGCUGGGCUCAUCCUCCGGUCCUCACCUCUCGGGCUCCCGGCUCCUCCCUGCUCCUCGCCUCACCACCCGUGCCUCGCCCGCUCCUCGGUCCUCCGUGCCCGCAUCCCCUGGCGUCCACCUCUCCUCCCUCACCUCUUCCCUAGCCCCCUCCGUGAACCAUCAAUAAAACCUCCUUCCCUCUGAGUGUUGCGUUUGGGUCCUUUCUGUCCCGUCUCCCAACAAAAGAAUCUUUGCGAUUGAAGGCAGACUUGUUCCCCAUGAAAUUAGUUUUGUUGACGAGGCUUUAUUUAACUUGACAAAAAGAAGGAGAAGGGGGCGUAACAUAAUUGGUCAUCGGGCUAUUGUGAAUGUCCCUGACCAGUGAGGAGGGAGCAUCAAUAUGUGCACGCCCAUCAGCCCUAUGAGGAGUACUUCACCGCCAUAACACUAUGCUUCUCCUUGGUUUCAUUGAUGGUCUAAGAGAGCGUAUGUUCCAGCUUGACCAGAGGGAGCCAGCAAAACCAGAGCAACUUCACUACAUGCUACAAGCUUCCAUUGCGCUGCUCUGGUCCGUGACUGGUUUACCAAUCACCUGAGGCCAUGGAAGAAGCCUCCCUUGACAUUUCAGCUGAUCAAUGCCAGGGGUGGAUCAGGCAUGCAAGAGGAUUUUUCCCCCUGGCUAGGGCCAAUAUAGCCUGUGAUGUUGACGAGAUUCUGUGGACUGUCCAAGACCAAAGACGAGAUGCUGGUGCAGAAUAAUUUUUUUGUUGUUGUUUGGUGUAUUGGACUGUACAGUACAUUAAGGAAUA
Molecule: long non-coding RNA, 1025 nt
Organism: Micropterus dolomieu (smallmouth bass)
Lineage: Eukaryota; Metazoa; Chordata; Actinopteri; Centrarchiformes; Centrarchidae
Exons: 3
Source: RefSeq, a predicted model, not a curated record